ACUGCAAUGUCUAUGUCGGAACUCUCGACACUUUUAUCGAAGAGAGGGAAGCUUUAACACAGACAGUGCCUUUCAACGGUGGGAACUUCGAACAUGGAUCUGCUCCUGAGUUAUGGCAAAUAGACCUGAGGUCGCAGUUUCCAACUCUCUUUGUUCCUUACAAAGAGACUCGAGUCCCGGUUCCUCAUUCUGAGACUGUUGACAAGUGCACUGGUAAGACUCUUUCUUAUGUCUUUAGUGAUUGUUAGGAUGAUGCUGAAGAGGGCAUUUUUGAUUAAUAGGUUGCGGAUCAAAAGACUGACGAACGAAUCCAAGGGACGUGACAAUGUAAGUGACGUACUGAAGAUACCCUCCUGGUCCAGCAUGAGUGUGGAUCCCACUUAUUGCAACGUUCUUCUCUGUGUAAAGAUCACCAUAUCUACAAAAUGAAAUUAUUACAACAUUCUUGUAGAUUAGUUCAAAAUAACACUGACACUGUGCUUAUUGGUCGUUACCUUGCCUUGAGUCGCUCAAGAACUUUGAUGGUAACGAUCUGAGACGCCAUACACGCGUCAAGAUUCACAAACGCGACGCGGUUACCUUGAGGCUCAGCGACGAUGAAGGCACGAGCUCGCAGACGGAAAUGGAUCCCUGAGGCGAUUUGCUCGGAGUUAGCGUAUCCCAUCAUGUUGACGUCAGCGGCUGGACCGGUGAUGUCAUAGCUUCCCACGCCGAUUAAGUACUCGGAAGACGAAAGAACGGCUCUAGUUAAGAGAAGAGACAGUAGAAACUGAAACGACAAUGGAACUGAGACAGCCAUGUUUUGGAGAGAGGAGGAAGAAGGGAGAGUAGUGAUAGAUCUUUAAGAGGAGAAAGAUUUCACACGAGAAGUGAUUGUGAGAGAGAAUACGCCAUGAAAGAUUGAAACUUUGCAAAAGCGUGAGUGGGAGAGAGAGAGAAAAGGUGAAUAAAAUUUUCAAAUGUGGAAGCGAGUGGAUGUCGGUAGUGAAACUUCACACUCUGUCAAACCUUAUUUGUUUCUAUUUAUACUAAUCUUGUAUAUUAUGGUUUCAUAUUAGUUUAAAUAGAUCGUGUUUAUUACUGACUAAUUAUCUAUGGUUUGAUGAUGAUGAUAUUAGUUUUUUUACGCGUUUAACGCAUACAUCCUCGAAAUGAGGUUCUUGACAAUAGAUUAAUUUUAUUUUAAUGUUAUUUGAAAAUCAAGCCAAGCCACUUAAAAUCUGGCACAACAUGGUUAGCGAGAUUUCCUCGGAGAACCCGUUUCUUGUUUCUGUCCACUUUUUCAAUUAUUCUCCUAAAUCUAUUAAAAUCUCCACCAAUGACCUUGCUCUAAAAUGCAUCCAAAAUACUACAUAACUAUCACAUUAAAUUUUGUACUAUGGAAAAAGGAGAUGAACAUAGUUACUGCAGAGGUUACAAAUACUAGUAUUGGUUUUUAUAAAUUGUUUGAAUUGAAUAAUAACAUGUUUUAGUUGUUGAUACGCACCCAUCACCCAUGUGAUUCCUCUUGGAGCUGCAUACAUCCAUGUGAACGUGUUAAAACUCUUUGCUUGUCUUGGUAAUAAACUCUUAAAGACGUUCAGUCAUUGACCAUACAUAAGUGGCAAGUGCAAUAAUCAUUCUCUGAUACACGUACUUGCAAAAUCAGAGGUGGGUGAAAUCCUCAACCGUUUCACACGGAAACAAACUUAAUGACCCGAUCUUAUCCGGAUCCGACCAGACUCAACCCGACAAGUAAAUCUCUUCCGUCCCUGUUUCGUGUAAUGAUCACGAGAAAGAAAGUAACAAAAAAAUAAUAGGAUCGGAAUUGACUUUGGCGUUUCCUUACUCUCUAAGAAAAAAAAAAUCUCUUCUUUCUUCUCUUCUAUCGGUUUCUGAUAAGCACAAAGAGAGAGACUCGUGAUCAAUGGAGAAGCCUCUGCUUUCAGGUAAUUCAAUUCAAUAAAGAACCAAACUUUCUCCUCCUCUGUUUUUUAAAUUAUCUCAUCAUUUAUUAUUGGAUCAGAUAAUAAAACUAAGGAACCAGAGAGAUGGGAUUCGUACCAAUACCUUCAGAGAAACAUCUCCUCUGCUCGUAACAACGUCUCUUUCACCGGAGCUGGCGUCACCGUCGAGGAAGUCCGUUCCGCUUCCGCUGUUUCCGAUCCUCCGCCUCUCUACCCUCCCGUUCUAACCACCCCCGUCUCGUUGCCCACUCGUAAGUCUCUCCGACUUUGACCCUUAAAAGUCUGAAAGUUUCAUCCUUUUUGUCGGCUCUGUUUCACAGCGGAAGCUAUUGGCUACCCGAGUGCGUCUGGAGCAGGUCAUGAACUGCAAAGGUACAAAGGUUCCUACUUUUAGUCUCAUUGCUCUUGUUAGGAUUCAAAGAUUGAAGCUUUUACAUUUAUCUCAGGCAGGUGCUUGAUGAGAUUGAGAUAAGAGAGCUGCUGAUUGAUCACAUCGGCCACCGUUGCUGUUGGGGAAGCCGUCCAGCUCGCACGUGGAGGAUCCGUGCGGUCGAAGACUGCAAUGUCUAUGUCGGAACUCUCGACACUUUUAUCGAAGAGAGGGAAGCUUUAACACAGACAGUGCCUUUCAACGGUGGGAACUUCGAACAUGGAUCUGCUCCUGAGUUAUGGCAAAUAGACCUGAGGUCGCAGUUUCCAACUCUCUUUGUUCCUUACAAAGAGACUCGAGUCCCGGUUCCUCAUUCUGAGACUGUUGACAAGUGCACUGGU
This 2717-nucleotide long non-coding RNA is filed under the name Brassica napus (rape). RNAcentral describes it as "long non-coding RNA (BNAP_LNC002106)". The record is from RNAcentral. Lineage: Eukaryota; Viridiplantae; Streptophyta; Magnoliopsida; Brassicales; Brassicaceae.